RNAcentral lists this long non-coding RNA (1247 nucleotides) under Salmo salar (Atlantic salmon). RNAcentral's name for it is "lncRNA (ENSSSAG00000112655.1)". Lineage: Eukaryota; Metazoa; Chordata; Actinopteri; Salmoniformes; Salmonidae. The record is from RNAcentral.
GUUUGUGUGUUGCAUCUGAGCACGCUCGUGUCUCAGGUGUUUCAGUCGUGGGUUUUCUCCGGACUGUUUCAGUCCCCAGUGUUUGGGGCAUUUGUUGUGUGUGCGCCCUGUAUCUUAGUGGGGUGGCUUUUGUUCGCCGUUUGUGCAAAUAAAGCACUACCCUGUACUCUCUGCUUCCUGUGCCUGACUUCGCACCCACUACACCCAGAGCCUUACAGCCAGGUCUACUUAGUUUCAUUGUAAGUCAUGGGCCAAUGCUGAACAACAUCUUACUGAGUGUUGUGGUGGGAACAGGCUGUGUUUUAUGAAGAGGACUGCAGAAAGGAAAAUGGACUAGUACUUGACACCAAAUGGAUGUCAGAGUUUUAUCUGCAGUCAUUUCAGCUUUCCAGUACAAGGAUGAGCACCAAAGAUGGAGAUCUUAAUUGUUUUCAGACUGCGGUGAACAAGUCUCUCGCACUCCUCUUUCUCUUCCUCUCUUCUAUCUCUCCUCCACUUGUCUAGGUCCUCCCAUCCCUAUCUUGGCGAGCAUGAGUCAGAGAUGAAUACUCAAAGGUUCAAAGCAAGCGGGAUGACUGCCGUGGAUCCUCUGUCCAAUCGUCAGCCAGUUAGUGGCGGCGGGCAUGACAGAAUGCUGACACCACAAUUUGAAGCAUCAUGGAGUUAUGGGAGCCUGAUGUUUUUUGUUUUGUUGGUGACGUCGGGUCUGGGUGCCGCUAUUGGAGGAGCCAUGGGUGCCUCAGCUGGCUCAUCGAGCUUCCAUGCCUUAGCUGGCUCGAGAGGUUUCCUUGCCUUGGUUGGCUCGGCAGGUUCCCAUCCCACGUCAUGCCUCAGCCGGCUCGUUGGGCUUCAACAACUCAGCCGGCUCAUCAGGCUCCCAUCCCAUGUCAUGUCUCAGCCAGUUCGUCGGGCUCCCACGCCUCAGCCGGCUCAUCAGGCUCCCAUCCUACGUCAUGCCUCAGCCGGCACAUCAGGCUCCCAUGCCUCGGCCGGCCCAUCAGGCUCGCCCAGGUGGGACGCCGGGUGGUGCCCCUAGAGGGGGGGGGUACUGUCAUGCCUGUUCCCGAUUCCCCUCUCUGGUGCUCAAGAGCACCAGGCUGCCCCUCAUUACACACACCCGUCACCAUCAUUACGCGCAUCUGCGCAAUAUUGGACUCACCUGGACUUUGUUGAUUGCCCCUCUAGAUCUGUCUGCUCCUCAGUUUGUUCCCUGUGUCAGCAUUAAUGUCGUUAUGUUUUCUUGUCCA